RNAcentral lists this ribosomal RNA (668 nucleotides) under arctic soil bacterium A1F2. Its description in RNAcentral is "bacterial SSU rRNA". It matches the Rfam family "Bacterial small subunit ribosomal RNA", at positions 22 to 685 of the family's 1533-position model. The record is from RNAcentral.
GCUCAGAUUGAACGCUGGCGGCAUGCCUUACACAUGCAAGUCGAACGGCAGCACGGGAGUAAUCCUGGUGGCGAGUGGCGAACGGGUGAGUAAUACAUCGGAACGUGUCCUGUAGUGGGGGAUAGCCCGGCGAAAGCCGGAUUAAUACCGCAUACGCUCUACGGAGGAAAGGGGGGGAUCUUAGGACCUCUCGCUACAGGGGCGGCCGAUGGCAGAUUAGCUAGUUGGUGGGGUAAAGGCCUACCAAGGCGACGAUCUGUAGCUGGUCUGAGAGGACGACCAGCCACACUGGGACUGAGACACGGCCCAGACUCCUACGGGAGGCAGCAGUGGGGAAUUUUGGACAAUGGGGGCAACCCUGAUCCAGCAAUGCCGCGUGUGUGAAGAAGGCCUUCGGGUUGUAAAGCACUUUUGUCCGGAAAGAAAUCUUCUGCCCUAAUACGGCGGGAGGAUGACGGUACCGGAAGAAUAAGCACCGGCUAACUACGUGCCAGCAGCCGCGGUAAUACGUAGGGUGCAAGCGUUAAUCGGAAUUACUGGGCGUAAAGCGUGCGCAGGCGGUCCGCUAAGACAGAUGUGAAAUCCCCGGGCUUAACCUGGGAACUGCAUUUGUGACUGGCGGGCUAGAGUAUGGCAGAGGGGGGUAGAAUUCCACGUGUAGCAGUGAA